GAUGAACGCUGACAGAAUGCUUAACACAUGCAAGUCAACUUGAACUUCGGUUUGGGUGGCGGACGGGUGAGUAACGCGUAAAGAACUUGCCUCACAGAUAGGGACAACAUUUGGAAACGAAUGCUAAUACCUGAUGUUAUGAUUAUAUGGCAUCGUAUAAUUAUGAAAGCUAUAUGCGCUGUGAGAGAGCUUUGCGUCCCAUUAGCUAGUUGGAGAGGUAACGGCUCACCAAGGCGAUGAUGGGUAGCCGGCCUGAGAGGGUGAUCGGCCACAAGGGGACUGAGACACGGCCCUUACUCCUACGGGAGGCAGCAGUGGGGAAUAUUGGACAAUGGACCAAGAGUCUGAUCCAGCAAUUCUGUGUGCACGAUGAAGUUUUUCGGAAUGUAAAGUGCUUUCAGUUGGGAAGAAAAAAAUGACGGUACCAACAGAAGAAGUGACGGCUAAAUACGU
This 453-nucleotide ribosomal RNA is filed under the name uncultured bacterium. RNAcentral's name for it is "partial 16S ribosomal RNA". It matches the Rfam family "Bacterial small subunit ribosomal RNA", at positions 28 to 506 of the family's 1533-position model. The record is from RNAcentral.